AUGAACGCUGGCGGCGUGCCUAAUACAUGCAAGUCGAGCGAACAGACGAGGAGCUUGCUCCUUUGACGUUAGCGGCGGACGGGUGAGUAACACGUGGAUAACCUACCUAUAAGACUGGGAUAACUUCGGGAAACCGGAGCUAAUACCGGAUAACAUGUUGAACCGCAUGGUUCAACAGUGAAAGACGGUUUUGCUGUCACUUAUAGAUGGAUCCGCGCCGCAUUAGCUAGUUGGUAAGGUAACGGCUUACCAAGGCAACGAUGCGUAGCCGACCUGAGAGGGUGGUCGGCCACACUGGAACUGAGACACGGUCCAGACUCCUACGGGAGGCAGCAGUAGGGAAUCUUCCGCAAUGGGCGAAAGCCUGACGGAGCAACGCCGCGUGAGUGAAGAAGGUCUUCGGAUCGUAAAACUCUGUUAUUAGGGAAGAACAAAUGUGUAAGUAACUAUGCACGUCUUGACGGUACCUAAUCAGAAAGCCACGGCUAACUACGUG
RNAcentral lists this ribosomal RNA (496 nucleotides) under uncultured bacterium. Its description in RNAcentral is "partial 16S ribosomal RNA". It matches the Rfam family "Bacterial small subunit ribosomal RNA", at positions 29 to 507 of the family's 1533-position model. The record is from RNAcentral.